GUGGGAGUCCAGCAUGGGUUAUUUAAAAUCAGGACUUAUCAAGAUGGCUGCACUAUAAACAGAGGAAAAGGCCAGCCAGGACUUAAAUGGCUGCCCGUCUCAUCAAAGUUCACUUGUUGCAAAGCCAACAAGAAGACAAAAUAAAUAGCUGACACCCAAAGAACCAUCAGUAUAGCCAUUUAACUGACUCCCCCUGCUUGAAAACACAAUGAUGUCUUCAGGGUCUUGGAAAAGUCCAUUAGGGUCAGAGCCAGUCUGACCUGGGGGUGGGAGAUGAUGUUCCACCAGGCAGGCCUGCCAGAUGAUAUUCUUUAAUUGAUGGGACAUUUGUUAAAGUAAGGGAUGGUAUGCGACUUGAGAUUUGGGGAAAGCAGAUUGAUUAUCUGGAUGCUUACAGCGAAAUUGUAAGCAUGUAGAAUAACACAGAUUCUUCUCAAAUGUUUGAUUGCAGAAACGAAUGGACACUGGCUAUAGCGAGCAACAAAAAGCUGGAAACUACAGACAUGAAAAGCAAGUGGGGAUGGAUUCUGGAGAUUUUCCAGUUAGACAAAAAACUCAAGAAGCUGGAACGGCAGAACUAAUGCAAAGACAGCAAGUGCAAAUUGAUGAGAUUGGGCUUACCACUACUCUCCAGCACAUCGUGGGACAAUUGGAUGUCCUCACUCAGACUGUGUCCAUUCUAGAACAGAGAUUAACAUUAACAGAAGACAAGCUGAAGGAAUGUCUUGAGAAUCAACAAAAAAUUGCUCAGAGUAAAUCUACCUGAUUCUCCCCCAAAACUGAUGGAUACAUUUUGUGUGAAUGGUUUUACAUAUUUUAUUAGAAUAAACUGUAUAGCUAAUAAUGUUUGUAAAUACA
RNAcentral lists this long non-coding RNA (858 nucleotides) under Notechis scutatus (mainland tiger snake). RNAcentral's name for it is "lncRNA (ENSNSUG00000011344.1)". Lineage: Eukaryota; Metazoa; Chordata; Lepidosauria; Squamata; Elapidae. The record is from RNAcentral.